CCUACGGGUGGCAGCAGUGAGGAAUAUUGGUCAAUGGACGCAAGUCUGAACCAGCCAUGCCGCGUGCAGGAAGACUGCCCUAUGGGUUGUAAACUUCUUUUAUAAGGGAAUAAAACGAGACACGUGUGCCUUUUUGAAAGUAUUUUAUGAAUAAGGAUCGGCUAACUCCGUGCCAGCAGCCGCGGUAAUACGGAGGAUUCAAGCGUUAUCCGGAUUUAUUGGGUUUAAAGGGUGCGUAGGUGGUCUGAUAAGUUAGUGGUGAAAGUCUGAGGCUCAACCGUAAAAUUGCAAUUGAUACUGGCAGUCUAGAGUAUAGUUGAGGUAAGCGGAAUGUGUGGUGUAGCGGUGAAAUGCUUAGAUAUCAUGCAGAACCCCGAUUGCGAAGGCAGCUUACCAAGCUGUUACUGACAUUGAGGCUCGAAAGCGUGGGGAGCAAACAGGAUUAGAUACCCUUGUAGUC
Molecule: ribosomal RNA, 460 nt
Filed under: uncultured bacterium
Lineage: Bacteria
Description: partial 16S ribosomal RNA
Rfam family: Bacterial small subunit ribosomal RNA
Source: RNAcentral